This 292-nucleotide ribosomal RNA is filed under the name uncultured bacterium. Its description in RNAcentral is "partial 16S ribosomal RNA". It matches the Rfam family "Bacterial small subunit ribosomal RNA", at positions 505 to 796 of the family's 1533-position model. The record is from RNAcentral.
GUGUCAGCAGCCGCGGUAAUACGUAGGGUGCAAGCGUUGUCCGGAAUUAUUGGGCGUAAAGAGCUCGUAGGCGGUUCGUCGCGUCGGCUGUGAAAACCUGAGGCUCAACCUCAGGCCUGCAGUCGAUACGGGCGGACUUGAGUGUUGCAGGGGAGACUGGAAUUCCUGGUGUAGCGGUGAAAUGCGCAGAUAUCAGGAGGAACACCGGUGGCGAAGGCGGGUCUCUGGGCAACUACUGACGCUGAGGAGCGAAAGCGUGGGGAGCGAACAGGAUUAGAUACCCUGGUAGUCC